UACAGAGGUGGCAAGCGUUGUUCGGAAUUACUGGGCGUAAAGGGCGCGUAGGCGGCCACCGCAAGUCAAUUGUGAAAUCUCCGGGCUUAACUCGGAAAGGUCAACUGAUACUGCGGGGCUAGAGUGCGGAAGGGGCAGCUGGAAUUCUCGGUGUAGCGGUGAAAUGCGUAGAUAUCGGGAGGAACACCAGUGGCGAAGGCGGUUGCCUGGAGCUUUGCUGACGCUGAUGCGCGAAAGCGUGGGGAGCGAUCCGG
RNAcentral lists this ribosomal RNA (254 nucleotides) under uncultured bacterium. RNAcentral describes it as "partial 16S ribosomal RNA". It matches the Rfam family "Bacterial small subunit ribosomal RNA", at positions 524 to 776 of the family's 1533-position model. The record is from RNAcentral.